CUGGCACCCAACCUUGAUGUCCUUCACACCAAAACCGUUUCGCGAAUCCCUAACAACACCAUACACGUGUCCUCUCAGGUCGCAACCCCUGGCUUCCACAGCAACAUAUCUUGGAUCGUCAGCGAUUGGAUCGCUGCAAUUGAAAUACGCUAUCGACGGUUGAAAAAAUGGGUCCAAUUUCAGGGGAUCCCUUCCAGGACCGAUGAGAUCGUUACUAAAAUUGCCGGAGUGCAAGAAAUAGCGAGGCAUGGAGGAGCAGAAAACAGGGCUAGAAGAGUUGUGUUGUUCUCACACUGCAAUUGGUACCUGGCGUCGCCGCAGUGAGAUGGGUCACUGCUGAGUCGAAAGGGGUAACUUAUGUUGGGAAUGUUGCCGCAGGAGGAAGCUUGGCAGUUGGAGCUGAGCGCGGCGGUGCAAGUUUGUAUAAGUAGAAGAAUGAUGACGAUAGAUGUGAGAACCCUUGGCAGUGGUAAUGACAAUAGGGAUGCUGCGGCUUGAUGGUCAUGGACGGGUAUUGGGCUCACUAUGGGGCCCGUAGCUAAAGGAGUUUUAUUAGUUAGAUUUUCUCUUGUUCUGGACAAGAACUUGUGCUACUUUUGAACUAUUGUACUUAUGUUAGGCAGUGUGGUGCCUCUUUUCUUUGUUAUGAAUAAGUUUGGGGUACUGUGUACCUUUAUAUACCAAUUUCCGUACU
Molecule: long non-coding RNA, 694 nt
Organism: Vigna unguiculata (cowpea)
Lineage: Eukaryota; Viridiplantae; Streptophyta; Magnoliopsida; Fabales; Fabaceae
Source: RefSeq, a predicted model, not a curated record